RNAcentral lists this ribosomal RNA (253 nucleotides) under uncultured bacterium. RNAcentral describes it as "partial 16S ribosomal RNA". It matches the Rfam family "Bacterial small subunit ribosomal RNA", at positions 524 to 776 of the family's 1533-position model. The record is from RNAcentral.
GACGUAGGGCGCGAGCGUUGUCCGGAUUUAUUGGGCGUAAAGCGCUCGCAGGUGGUUCGUCGCGUCGUGCGUGAAAGACCCCGGCUCAACUGGGGAGGGUCGUGCGAUACGGGCGAACUGGAGGCCAGUAGGGGGAUGCGGAAUUCCGGGUGUAGUGGUGGAAUGCGUAGAGAUCCGGAGGAACACCAGCGGCGAAGGCGGCAUCCUGGACUGGUCCUGACACUCAGGAGCGAAAGCGUGGGGAGCGAUCCGG